Molecule: transfer RNA, 85 nt
Filed under: Candidatus Woesearchaeota archaeon
Lineage: Archaea; Nanobdellati; Candidatus Woesearchaeota
Description: tRNA-Leu
Rfam family: tRNA
About the family: Transfer RNA (tRNA) molecules are approximately 80 nucleotides in length.
Source: RNAcentral
GUGGGGGUGCCGGAGCCUGGCCAAACGGGCAGGACUUAAGAUCCUGUGGCAAGCGCCUACGCGGGUUCGAAUCCCGUCCCCCACA